This 1460-nucleotide ribosomal RNA is filed under the name Vibrio sp. RNAcentral describes it as "bacterial SSU rRNA". It matches the Rfam family "Bacterial small subunit ribosomal RNA". The record is from RNAcentral. Lineage: Bacteria; Pseudomonadati; Pseudomonadota; Gammaproteobacteria; Vibrionales; Vibrionaceae.
GGCCUAACACAUGCAAGUCGAGCGGAAACGAGUUAUCUGAACCUUCGGGGAACGAUAACGGCGUCGAGCGGCGGACGGGUGAGUAAUGCCUAGGAAAUUGCCCUGAUGUGGGGGAUAACCAUUGGAAACGAUGGCUAAUACCGCAUGAUGCCUACGGGCCAAAGAGGGGGACCUUCGGGCCUCUCGCGUCAGGAUAUGCCUAGGUGGGAUUAGCUAGUUGGUGAGGUAAGGGCUCACCAAGGCGACGAUCCCUAGCUGGUCUGAGAGGAUGAUCAGCCACACUGGAACUGAGACACGGUCCAGACUCCUACGGGAGGCAGCAGUGGGGAAUAUUGCACAAUGGGCGCAAGCCUGAUGCAGCCAUGCCGCGUGUGUGAAGAAGGCCUUCGGGUUGUAAAGCACUUUCAGUCGUGAGGAAGGUAGUGUAGUUAAUAGCUGCAUUAUUUGACGUUAGCGACAGAAGAAGCACCGGCUAACUCCGUGCCAGCAGCCGCGGUAAUACGGAGGGUGCGAGCGUUAAUCGGAAUUACUGGGCGUAAAGCGCAUGCAGGUGGUUUGUUAAGUCAGAUGUGAAAGCCCGGGGCUCAACCUCGGAAUAGCAUUUGAAACUGGCAGACUAGAGUACUGUAGAGGGGGGUAGAAUUUCAGGUGUAGCGGUGAAAUGCGUAGAGAUCUGAAGGAAUACCGGUGGCGAAGGCGGCCCCCUGGACAGAUACUGACACUCAGAUGCGAAAGCGUGGGGAGCAAACAGGAUUAGAUACCCUGGUAGUCCACGCCGUAAACGAUGUCUACUUGGAGGUUGUGGCCUUGAGCCGUGGCUUUCGGAGCUAACGCGUUAAGUAGACCGCCUGGGGAGUACGGUCGCAAGAUUAAAACUCAAAUGAAUUGACGGGGGCCCGCACAAGCGGUGGAGCAUGUGGUUUAAUUCGAUGCAACGCGAAGAACCUUACCUACUCUUGACAUCCAGAGAACUUUCCAGAGAUGGAUUGGUGCCUUCGGGAACUCUGAGACAGGUGCUGCAUGGCUGUCGUCAGCUCGUGUUGUGAAAUGUUGGGUUAAGUCCCGCAACGAGCGCAACCCUUAUCCUUGUUUGCCAGCGAGUAAUGUCGGGAACUCCAGGGAGACUGCCGGUGAUAAACCGGAGGAAGGUGGGGACGACGUCAAGUCAUCAUGGCCCUUACGAGUAGGGCUACACACGUGCUACAAUGGCGCAUACAGAGGGCGGCCAACUUGCGAAAGUGAGCGAAUCCCAAAAAGUGCGUCGUAGUCCGGAUUGGAGUCUGCAACUCGACUCCAUGAAGUCGGAAUCGCUAGUAAUCGUGGAUCAGAAUGCCACGGUGAAUACGUUCCCGGGCCUUGUACACACCGCCCGUCACACCAUGGGAGUGGGCUGCAAAAGAAGUAGGUAGUUUAACCUUCGGGGGGACGCUUACCACUUUGUGGUUCAUGACUGGGGUGAA